AGAGUUUGAUCAUGGCUCAGGAUGAACGCUAGCGGCAGGCUUAAUACAUGCAAGUCGAGGGGCAGCGGGGGUAGCAAUACCUGCCGGCGACCGGCAAACGGGUGCGGAACACGUACGCAACCUUCCUUUAAGCGGGGAAUAGCCCAGAGAAAUUUGGAUUAAUACCCCAUAAUAUAAUGAAGAAGCAUUUCUUUAUUAUUAAAGAUUUAUCACUUAGAGAUGGGCGUGCGGCUGAUUAGGUAGUUGGCGGGGUAACGGCCCACCAAGCCUACGAUCAGUAGCUGAUGUGAGAGCAUGAUCAGCCACACGGGCACUGAGACACGGGCCCGACUCCUACGGGAGGCAGCAGUAAGGAAUAUUGGUCAAUGGACGAAAGUCUGAACCAGCCAUGCCGCGUGGAGGAUGAAGGUCCUCUGGAUUGUAAACUUCUUUUAUUUGGGACGAAAAAAGGGAAUUCUUUCCCGUCUGACGGUACCAGAUGAAUAAGCACCGGCUAACUCCGUGCCAGCAGCCGCGGUAAUACGGAGGGUGCAAGCGUUAUCCGGAUUCACUGGGUUUAAAGGGUGCGUAGGCGGGCAGGUAAGUCAGUGGUGAAAUCUUCGAGCUUAACUCGGAAACUGCCUUUGAUACUAUCUGUCUUGAAUAUUGUGGAGGUAAGCGGAAUAUGUCAUGUAGCGGUGAAAUGCUUAGAUAUGACAUAGAACACCUAUUGCGAAGGCAGCUUACUACGCAUAUAUUGACGCUGAGGCACGAAAGCGUGGGGAUCAAACAGGAUUAGAUACCCUAGUAGUCC
Molecule: ribosomal RNA, 793 nt
Filed under: uncultured bacterium
Lineage: Bacteria
Description: bacterial SSU rRNA
Rfam family: Bacterial small subunit ribosomal RNA
Source: RNAcentral